Pungitius pungitius (ninespine stickleback) is the source of this 260-nucleotide long non-coding RNA. RefSeq lists it as uncharacterized. Lineage: Eukaryota; Metazoa; Chordata; Actinopteri; Perciformes; Gasterosteidae. The record is from RefSeq and is a predicted model, not a curated record. The transcript is spliced from 3 exons.
CUGAAGGGAAGAUGGCAUGACUUCUGCCAGAAGGUGCAGUUUUUUGGUGUAUGGAAAAAGGCGCUGAAACCCCCAAUCGGAAUGGACAAAGCUGAACAGGCUCUUGAGAUCCACGUGUGCUGCCAUUACUGUUCCCCUCCACGUCUGCUCCUCCAAAGAGGGUACGAGAUGCGAAUGAGGCUCUGGUACAUGUCCUCGAGGAAACAGAAGACCCCAAUUCCUACUUAAAGAAACGCCCUCUCUCCUGCCCAGUCCUGAUA